GUCACAUCAGGUUGAAACACCAGUUCUCUUACGAUCACCGACGUUAAGCAACGUCGAGACUGAUCAGCAGCUAGAUGAGUGACUGCUUGGGAAAUUCAGGUGCCGUAAG
Molecule: non-coding RNA, 109 nt
Organism: Acanthosepion pharaonis
Lineage: Eukaryota; Metazoa; Mollusca; Cephalopoda; Sepiida; Sepiidae
Source: the annotation of a GenBank genome assembly